Molecule: ribosomal RNA, 468 nt
Filed under: uncultured bacterium
Lineage: Bacteria
Description: partial 16S ribosomal RNA
Rfam family: Bacterial small subunit ribosomal RNA
Source: RNAcentral
GACGAACGCUGGCGGCGUGCUUAACACAUGCAAGUCGAACGGAAAGGCCCUGCUUUUGUGGGGUGCUCGAGUGGCGAACGGGUGAGUAACACGUGAGUAACCUGCCCUUGACGUUGGGAUAACUUCAGGAAACUGGGGCUAAUACCGGAUAGGAGCUCCUGCUGCAUGGUGGGGGUUGGAAAGUUUCGGCGGUUGGGGAUGGACUCGCGGCUUAUCAGCUUGUUGGUGGGGUAGUGGCUUACCAAGGCUUUGACGGGUAGCCGGCCUGAGAGGGUGACCGGCCACAUUGGGACUGAGAUACAGCCCCGACUCCUACGGGAGGCAGCAGUGGGGAAUAUUGCACAAUGGGCGGAAGCCUGAUGCAGCAACGCCGCGUGCGGGAUGACGGCCUUCUGGUUGUAAACCGCUUUCGCCUGUGACGAAGCGUGAGUGACGGUAAUGGGUAAAGAAGCACCGGCUAACUACGUG